Molecule: long non-coding RNA, 3908 nt
Organism: Bombus huntii
Lineage: Eukaryota; Metazoa; Arthropoda; Insecta; Hymenoptera; Apidae
Exons: 2
Source: RefSeq, a predicted model, not a curated record
UUACUUCUUGGCACUGUUACGUUUUGUAUAAUGUUAUCUAGAAUCAGCAUAGUCACGAUGCAAUUACAAAUCAUAGUUCUGAUCAUCAUAGUAUUAGUAUUUUGUGAUGCAAGCGAAAAUUUUCUUUAUUUCGUGCACUUUCAGUCAGAUAUUCGAGUAAUUCUUCUGUUGUUAGUAACAUAACCUACUAUUCGUUUCGGGCAUAAAAAUCUUUCCGCGCCCUCACAUAUAAUAUAUUUUGUUUAAUUCUUACGUGUAUAUAUGAAAAGGAAGAUAAGGUGAUAGACAAUAAUAACGAAAUGUAUAAGAGAAGGAAUUAUAGUGUUUCGUAGAUUUUGUAAAUUACAUAAUGUCUACUAAAAUGUGUCGGUAAAUCGGUGUUUCUUUACCGAGAAAUUUAUGUGAGAUAUCGGAAAGUAAACAGUGAUUUUUCAUACGAGCGGUUUUAUUUUCAUGCUAUACAUGUAAAUUCGUAAAACUAAGGAUGAGAGAUUCAUAAUAGUCUAAAUAAAUUUCUUAUAACCACGUUUUUAUGCAUCAGAACUGUCAGCUGUUUCUAGCAGACGACUUAGCUGCCGUCUGCUACUGACGUUAGUCAUAUUACAACUGUAAAACAGUAUUGUGUUAAAAAAUUUAGUAAUUCAUAUAAAAAAUAUUACAAAAAAUCAUAUUUUAUAUUAUAAUUUACUAUUUUUACCAUAACAUCGUAUUAUUAUAUUUACAAUGUUGUUUAAACAUUAUAUCGACAAUAUAAGCGGCGUAAGACCGCGAAACGCAUGCGCAAUAGUCAAAUUUAACUUUUUCGUUCAUGUUCUGUGUAAUGCGAACAUUGAAGAUCACUAAACUAUAUUAAAUCAUUAUUAUAUCGAAAGAAACAAAUACAAAACAUUAUUUAAAAUUAAUAAUAUCAUUAAUAAUAAUAAUUUCAUGCAUUGGGAACAUUAAUAUUCCAUUUGAACAAUUUCUAUUCGCGCUUCAAUUUCUAAGUGUCUUAGCAAUCUCUAACGAAAGUUUUCUAUAAAUCGUUCUACGAACGGCAAAAUGAAUUGCACGACUUUCUCUGUUCGAAAGUGACACAGAGACCGGAUUUUGAAAUCUCUUUCAAUACCUGGCAAAUCGAAGACACGAGUUCGGCACGUCGGCGAUGUCGUCCAUAAUUAUUACGCAAGUCUUAGGUAAAUUGUGACUCGUUGGUUGGGCGCUGAUCGCAUAGGAAACCUUUCCUUAGAUUUCAUGGGCCAUUGCUGGGCAGUAUUAUCGAAAUAAGUGAGAACCGGUCAUGAUGACAUCGAGUCUGGGCGAAUUUCAAGUCUUCGUAAGUAGGCUAACUGGCCCGUCAGAUAUCCUUCUUCGAGCAUGGUUAACCCAUGGAAUCCACGUUCUUGACUUUCUCGGCUUGUUCGGUGUAGUAUUCUACGUAGAUAUAUAAAUGUUGGCUCUUACUUACUGAUUCUUCAAUCAAGUAUUUACGCUUCUUGUAAGACUUCCUUCAAAUCCAGAAUGCUUUAAAUUUAAUUAUUUCUUUGACUAUAUUGGAUUAAUUAGAUUAACAUAAAUAAGUUCGGUUAUAAUAAAGGAAAUGUAUUGAAUUUAACUGAACUUACUUAUGUUAUAACCCAAUAGUCAUUGUAUGUUAUUUAUUGAUUAGAGUUUUAUCUGUCACGUCCUAUUUAGUUGCCGCGUUCGGUAGCGUUAACUGACGUUUAAUGCAACUGGAAAUAAGUUCCACUUUCGGCUAACCUGCUAUGUGCGGGAAUACUGGCACGGGAGAGGAUUAAAGUUGUUCGAAAGUAAAUUAACAAUAUGUAAUGAUUUAUUCAAAACUUACUCGAUGUCGAUAUUGACAAUUGACUGACAGACUGACGGAUAUAAAAUUCUUCGGUUGACAAAAUGAUAACUAACUCUUCGAUAGACAAAAUGACAACUAACUUUCCGAUAGACAAUGGUAAUUAUUCGGUUGAUGAACGGUAAUUAAUUAUUACUCGAUAGACGAACGGUAAUUAAUUAUUCGAUAAACGAAUGGUAAUUAUUGUUACUGACUUCUUUGAGUCGCUACAUUUAUUUAUAUCUGUCGGAGAUGAAAAAACAUCGGGGUCUUUCUUCUGAAAAUGUUUAGGAAGAUCUCCAACGUUUGUUCAAACUGCCGACUUUGUUUACAGUUUAAAUUGUCUUAAUAUCGUUAUAGAAACAUAGUUAGGUAAAUAUAGAAACAUAGUUAGAUAAGUUUUCGCAAGAUAUAGCUUUUAGCAGCUUUAACUGCCUUUCACUUCAAAUACUGUAAACACGGUUUCAAAUAAACGUUUUAAAUUAUCUUGAUUUGAAAGAAAUUACCAAUUUUACUUUCGCGCUACGGAUCGCGCGGGGCGCGGGACGUGACAUUAUCAUUGCUAAUGUAAUGAUUCAUUACAGUAUAACAAUAUGAAUUACAGGGACUUUUUAGGUAGAUUUUUUAUUAUCGUCCGAUUUAUGGAUGUUUUUAAUAAUAUAGACAUUGCAUUAAUUAUUCAAACAUUAUAGAUACAGAUGAAUGAUGAGUAGAGUCGAAUUUUAUUUACUACCAUCUACAAGUCUCUAUGUUUUUAUACACCUUAAUGGUAAUAAUCAUUAUUUGUGUUGUUGUUAUAGUAUUGAAAUAGUAUCACAACAAUGAGAAUCGAUUUUACCGUGACUUAUCGAUAAUAUCGUCGAAGAUCCUUUUAUUGACUGAAACGAGUAUUAGCCAUAGAGUUAGACUAACAAAUUUCGCAAAUGCAAAUGUAAGGUCAUUAACAUUGGUUCGAUUUGCAAAUCCUAUUUCCCAAUGGUCGUCACUCUCCAUAUCUUGCGUACAAUAAGGGAGAUUUCCUUCAUUGACGCACGGCGUCUAUGCUUUUGGCAUUCUACUCUCGUGAACAUUGCACGUGUGUACGCACGCACAGGAAUGCAUGAAUAGUUUUACAAUGCGAUUAUUGUUAAAUUACUGCGCACUGCAUUGGAUGAGCCAGCCAAUAAAUUAACAUAGAGAACCUACGUCGGCUUUUUUGAUUCGUUCGGCCUAAUUUCAUUACACAUACAUGCCAUUAAUUAGCUGUAGUAAAUUCAUAUUAUAUUGUACGAAGAAUGGGAAAAUUGAUACAAAUAUAUUUCUUUAAACAUUUCUUUAACUAUAGAAAUGCUUCCUGUAAAUGUAUAAUGUCUUAUUUCAUGUUGUUUAUGUCAAUGUUAUAUCUGACUACUUCUUUUGUAUAUACUGUCCAGCUUCACAUGUUAAGGCCAUUGGCGAUCGAUGCCAUGUUAAGGUCAUUCACUUGCAAAUAAAAUUGUAAAGUUUCCAAGGCACAUUUCGAAAACGAGCCACCAAUCUACAUACCAAAACACGUAGAAUUUAUAGAAUUAAACGCGAUUUCCGCUCCGUGAAACUAUGUACGUUACAAUUAGCCAAUCGUUAAUAGUAUUUUAAUAACGAGGUACUUAUGGAAAGCAUCGAUACGUUGAAAUUAGUAGAGCACGUUGGCCAUGGGUGUUGCGUGGCGUGAAUUUCCUAGAAGGAUAUAAGAAACAUUCCGGGAUGUUGCUCAAUAGAAACUAAUUACAUAUUCCCUGGGGGGACUGUCAUUUGGGGCGGAAGACUAGUCACCUUACACCUGCGACGAUAGUGACGUAUUCUGAUGUAGUGUACAAAUUAGAUUAGUGUACAAAUCACGUUCAUAAUUCAUAAGUACUGGGACAUUCACAAAAACUAAGGGAAACCUCGAAAGGGCAAUAGAAAAAUCUGCGAUUAUCUUUUCUGGGAUCGUUUUUGGAAUCAUUCGAUAUAAAGAAUUGAUUGUAGUAAAAUAAAAUCUAUUUGUUGUAAUAAAAUAACAGCCUCGUGUAAUAACAUUUUCAUCAAUUCUAUUUAAAAACAAUGAAAUCCUUUCUGAUCUAUA